UGAGUAACACGUAUCCAACCUGCCGUCUACUCUUGGACAGCCUUCUGAAAGGAGGAUUAAUACAAGAUGGCAUCAUGAGUCCGCAUGUUCACAUGAUUAAAGGUAUUCCGGUAGACGAUGGGGAUGCGUUCCAUUAGAUAGUAGGCGGGGUAACGGCCCACCCAGUCUUCGAUGGAUAGGGGUUCUGAGAGGAAGGUCCCCCACAUUGGAACUGAGACACGGUCCAA
Molecule: ribosomal RNA, 227 nt
Filed under: uncultured bacterium
Lineage: Bacteria
Description: partial 16S ribosomal RNA
Rfam family: Bacterial small subunit ribosomal RNA
Source: RNAcentral